CUUCCUUAUUUUAUUAUUGCAUGAAAUAGGUACUUAAUCCAACAUCGAGGUCACAAACUUUCUUGAUGAUAAGAACUCUUUAAGAAAAUUAUGCUGUUAUCCCUAUAGUAACUUGUUCUUUUUUAAAAACUUUUUGGUUUUUCAAGAGUUAUUCUCAUAUUAUUAAAAUAAAAUUUUAUUUAUUUACUGCCCCAGUAGAAUAAUUUGUGAUUUAUAUUGAUGUUAAAUUGGAAUUAUAAAGCUUAAUAGGGUCUUCUUGUCUUUAAAGUAAAUUUUAGCCUUUUUACUAGAAUGUAAAAUUUGAAGUAUAAUAAUAAGACAGGAUUAUUUAGUUAAACCAUUCAUUCCAGUCCUAAAUUACAAG
RNAcentral lists this ribosomal RNA (364 nucleotides) under Alpiscorpius alpha. RNAcentral's name for it is "partial 16S ribosomal RNA". Lineage: Eukaryota; Metazoa; Arthropoda; Arachnida; Scorpiones; Euscorpiidae. The record is from RNAcentral.